RNAcentral lists this ribosomal RNA (1346 nucleotides) under uncultured bacterium. Its description in RNAcentral is "partial 16S ribosomal RNA". It matches the Rfam family "Bacterial small subunit ribosomal RNA", at positions 28 to 1381 of the family's 1533-position model. The record is from RNAcentral.
GACGAACGCUGGCGGCGUGCUUAACACAUGCAAGUCGAACGGAAAGGCCCUGCUUUUGUGGGGUGCUCGAGUGGCGAACGGGUGAGUAACACGUGAGUAACCUGCCCUUGACUUUGGGAUAACUUCAGGAAACUGGGGCUAAUACCGGAUAGGAGCUCCUGCUGCAUGGUGGGGGUUGGAAAGUUUCGGCGGUUGGGGAUGGACUCGCGGCUUAUCAGCUUGUUGGUGGGGUAGUGGCUUACCAAGGCUUUGACGGGUAGCCGGCCUGAGAGGGUGACCGGCCACAUUGGGACUGAGAUACGGCCCAGACUCCUACGGGAGGCAGCAGUGGGGAAUAUUGCACAAUGGGCGGAAGCCUGAUGCAGCAACGCCGCGUGCGGGAUGACGGCCUUCGGGUUGUAAACCGCUUUCGCCUGUGACGAAGCGUGAGUGACGGUAAUGGGUAAAGAAGCACCGGCUAACUACGUGCCAGCAGCCGCGGUGAUACGUAGGGUGCGAGCGUUGUCCGGAUUUAUUGGGCGUAAAGGGCUCGUAGGUGGUUGAUCGCGUCGGAAGUGUAAUCUUGGGGCUUAACCCUGAGCGUGCUUUCGAUACGGGUUGACUUGAGGAAGGUAGGGGAGAAUGGAAUUCCUGGUGGAGCGGUGGAAUGCGCAGAUAUCAGGAGGAACACCAGUGGCGAAGGCGGUUCUCUGGGCCUUUCCUGACGCUGAGGAGCGAAAGCGUGGGGAGCGAACAGGCUUAGAUACCCUGGUAGUCCACGCUGUAAACGGUGGGUACUAGGUGUGGGGUCCAUUCCACGGGUUCCGUGCCGUAGCUAACGCUUUAAGUACCCCGCCUGGGGAGUACGGCCGCAAGGCUAAAACUCAAAGGAAUUGACGGGGCCCCGCACAAGCGGCGGAGCAUGCGGAUUAAUUCGAUGCAACGCGUAGAACCUUACCUGGGUUUGACAUGGAUCGGGAGUGCUCAGAGAUGGGUGUGCCUCUUUUGGGGUCGGUUCACAGGUGGUGCAUGGCUGUCGUCAGCUCGUGUCGUGAGAUGUUGGGUUAAGUCCCGCAACGAGCGCAACCCUUGUUCACUGUUGCCAGCACGUUAUGGUGGGGACUCAGUGGAGACCGCCGGGGUCAACUCGGAGGAAGGUGGGGAUGACGUCAAGUCAUCAUGCCCCUUAUGUCCAGGGCUUCACGCAUGCUACAAUGGCUGGUACAGAGAGUGGCGAGCCUGUGAGGGUGAGCGAAUCUCGGAAAGUCGGUCUCAGUUCGGAUUGGGGUCUGCAACUCGACCUCAUGAGGUCGGAGUCGCUAGUAAUCGCAGAUCAGCAACGCUGCGGUGAAUACGUUCCCGGGGCU